Molecule: non-coding RNA, 229 nt
Organism: Salvia hispanica
Lineage: Eukaryota; Viridiplantae; Streptophyta; Magnoliopsida; Lamiales; Lamiaceae
Source: RefSeq, a predicted model, not a curated record
CGAAUUCUUAUUCAGGCCCAUUACCGCACUGCCAUAUUGGCCCGAAGCAAAUCCAACUAGGGUUCUUAUUGCAUUUCUCCGAUUCGAUUUCCGAUUAUUGCUUCGUAGCACUCCGCAUCAUGGACGGAAAUCAUGGCCAGGAAAUCAUGAAGAUUGGGAUGACUGAAAUAGAAGAUGCGAAUAAUGAAACUGAUCUGGAGACAAACUACAAUUCGAAGCAAGCAUUGGG